RNAcentral lists this long non-coding RNA (812 nucleotides) under Mytilus galloprovincialis (Mediterranean mussel). Lineage: Eukaryota; Metazoa; Mollusca; Bivalvia; Mytilida; Mytilidae. The record is from RNAcentral.
ACAUAGUGCGAUGUCAAGAUACAGGUAUCGACAUAUUGUCAUUAAAAACAUUUAAAUAUCUAAUUACAGUGUUGAAUUGUUUACCUUUUAGAUAAAAUUUAUUUAGAAAAUUUAUUAGUUUACCCGGAUCUUAUAUAAGUUUCCGGGCUUAGUAAACAUAGGAAGGAUGUGCUAUCCCGUUUCAAAUAAGCUUUCUACAGGUUCAACCAAACUUCAAAACCAAACUUUUGUAUCUAUUGAAAGGUGACUAAUGUGUCUUGUAUUUAUAAAAUCUACAAAGAGACCGGGUGGUGAUUUAAUACUUAAUUACUCUGCACAGCUAAACGAGUCCACUUUGCCAAAUCAGUGCAUUCAGAGAGCCUGAUGUAUAUUUAUACAAAAUGCACUAUCAGUUGUGUUCGCCUAUGUACCUGGUUAACUUUCACACAGGUUUUGUAUUUUUAAAAGUUCCCAUCAACCGAAGAUGUUUUCGUUUUCAAAAACCAAGCAUACUACAUUAUGUAAGGCAUUGAAUGACAAUAACUCUUAACACGGUUUAUCUCUGUCUUUCUAAAAUUAUUUGCAUCAUUCACGGAUUGAAAAUUGAAUAACUACCAUGCAUUGCCCCGAUCAUGCUAGGUUUUUCAAAUACAAUGUUUACGCCAAAUCAGUUUUUUCGUACAUUUUUUCCUUGUCAGAUCGCAUGUAUAUUAGAUAAAAAUGAAAGAAUAUAAAUAUUAUAAAAACAAUCCCUUAAAAGAAUUCAGCAAAAACAAAAGCUAUAUUCAAUCUUUGCCAAGCCAUUUUCAUUGUUUCUUUGUUUUUUGUUCUUG